RNAcentral lists this ribosomal RNA (468 nucleotides) under uncultured bacterium. Its description in RNAcentral is "partial 16S ribosomal RNA". It matches the Rfam family "Bacterial small subunit ribosomal RNA", at positions 28 to 507 of the family's 1533-position model. The record is from RNAcentral.
GACGAACGCUGGCGGCGUGCUUAACACAUGCAAGUCGAACGGAAAGGCCCUGCUUUUGUGGGGUGCUCGAGUGGCGAACGGGUGAGUAACACGUGAGUAACCUGCCCUUGACUUUGGGAUAACUUCAGGAAACUGGGGCUAAUACCGGAUAGGAGCUCCUGCUGCAUGGUGGGGGGUGGAAAGGUUCGGCGGUUGGGGAUGGGCUCGCGGCUUAUCAGCUUGUUGGUGGGGUAGUGGCUUACCAAGGCUUUGACGGGUAGCCGGCCUGAGAGGGUGACCGGCCACAUUGGGACUGAGAUACGGCCCAGACUCCUACGGGAGGCAGCAGUGGGGAAUAUUGCACAAUGGGCGGAAGCCUGAUGCAGCAACGCCGCGUGCGGGAUGACGGCCUUCGGGUUGUAAACCGCUUUCGCCUGUGACGAAGCGUGAGUGACGGUAAUGGGUAAAGAAGCACCGGCUAACUACGUG